UCAGUUGGUCGUCGUUGCAGUUGC
RNAcentral lists this non-coding RNA (24 nucleotides) under Arabidopsis thaliana (thale cress). The record is from RNAcentral. Lineage: Eukaryota; Viridiplantae; Streptophyta; Magnoliopsida; Brassicales; Brassicaceae.